This 415-nucleotide ribosomal RNA is filed under the name uncultured prokaryote. RNAcentral describes it as "bacterial SSU rRNA". It matches the Rfam family "Bacterial small subunit ribosomal RNA", at positions 505 to 918 of the family's 1533-position model. The record is from RNAcentral.
GUGUCAGCAGCCGCGGUAAAACGUAGGGCUCGAGCGUUAUCCGGAUUUACUGGGCGUAAAGCGCAUGCAGGCGGCCUUGUAAGUCGGAUGUGAAAUCUCCCGGCUCAACUGGGAGGCGUCAUUCGAUACUGCAAGGCUUGAGGGCAGGAGAGGGGAGUGGAAUUCCCGGUGUAGUGGUGAAAUGCGUAGAUAUCGGGAGGAACACCAGUGGCGAAGGCGGCUCCCUGGCCUGUACCUGACGCUAAGAUGCGAAAGCGUGGGGGGCGAACGGGAUUAGAAACCCCGGUAGUCCACGCCGUAAACGAUGCGGACUAGGUGUGGGAGGUAUUGACCCCUUCCGUGCCGUAGCUAACGCGUUAAGUCCGCCGCCUGGGGACUACGGCCGCAAGGCUAAAACUCAAAGGAAUUGGCGGGG